Long non-coding RNA from Egretta garzetta (little egret), 4983 nucleotides. RefSeq lists it as uncharacterized. The transcript has 5 exons. The record is from RefSeq and is a predicted model, not a curated record. Lineage: Eukaryota; Metazoa; Chordata; Aves; Pelecaniformes; Ardeidae.
ACGAACUCAUUUUUCUCACCUCUGUGCCGCACACACAGAGUGACACCCUGCCCAAGGCACGGCAGAACUACUUUCUUAUCAAAGGGGGCCACAAAAUAAUGAAACAAGAGCUUGAACGUCACAAGCACACAACGAGCACGCGAAGCACGUAGCAGACGUCCAGCUAAACAGCAGCCCGGGUGCUUAUUCAGCUGGUCACGUUGUCCACCGUUGCCUCUGAUAGCAGUCUUUGACCUGAAUACUUCUGCCUGUGCUACCGCUGAGCCUUGUUGCAAUUCAGAGGGGGACUGCGUGUCGUUCUGCGCGGCGAUGGAAGGCGCUCAGCUCGUGCUGCGAGGGAAAGGUACUCUCUCGGCUGAGGUCGAGUUAAGAUUAGGUCAAGUGAAUCUUUUAUGACAAACGGUGUUCCUGUUCCUACUGAAAUCAAUGACAAAGCUUCACUGAGUUCACCGGCAGCAUAAGCUGUUCCUGUUAGACGGUAAAAAUACAAACCCUGAGUGUGCCUUUGUGGACUUCAGUGUGCAUCUGGAUUAACCCUACCCAAGUCUAACUAGAGUUAGACUAUUGCAUUCCCUCGAGGUGGGUUUGACUCUUUCUGAGCAAAGUACGGUGGUUCACAACGAAGAGACAAAAGUAUUUUUGCUUACAGAACCAGGUUCAAAGACAUGAGUUAACGAAACAAAACUUAAGAGUUAAUGAAACAAAACUUAGUAAGUCUACUGAUAAGCAGAACAUUCAGCCUGUGUCAUCAGCAUUGCCAGAUAGAUUUCAGUGGAAAUAUACUGCUUUUUCACAAGUAGUGCUCUAGCAGACUACGCAAUUUUCUCAGGUUAAGGGGAAGCUUAGACACAAGGAAGACUAAAAACUUUAUGGUCUCAGAGAUAAAUACAGCUCCUUGCUCCACACCCUUCUCCCCAUUCCAAUUUCCCCCAGCAUUUGUAUAAUGGCAUUUUUCAGAAAUCUUUUCACAGGAUUCCCCAAAGGCUCGUUAAAAAGCCUUAGUCUGAAGGAAGGUCCUUCUGUGGAUUAGUAACUGAAGGAUGAAAAGCAAAGGUGGGAGCUACUGAUCAUUUUUCACAAUUAAAGGAAGUUGCAAGAGGAAGGCAGGGGAAGGAGACCGUGCCAGGUCCUGCGUUGUCCAACACAUUCACAAAUGGGCUGGAAGAGAUGGUGGAUAGCCAAGGUGGCUGAUGAUACACAGUUGUUUCCAAUAGUCAAAAACAAAAGCUGCCUGAGAAAGUAGCACAGGGAUCUCACAUUAUCAGCUGGCUGGGUAGUAAAAUGGCAGAGAAAAUACAAUGCUGAUAAAAACAAAACAGUGCAUAUGGGAAAAACAUAGCCCUGUUAAACGCAAACAGUUCCGAAUGAGCAGUUGUCACUCAAGAAAGAGAUCUUUGAGUCACUGUGAAUGCUAACAUGAAAACGCCAGCUUAACAUUCAGCCCAGGGACUGGGUGUGCCCUCGGCUCAAAAACCUGACCUGAUGGUUGCCAGAAGCUGGGAGAUAUAAAAGGGGAAGGAACCCUCUGUACUCACCCUGUUUCUCAUAGGUGUCCACUACUUGCCCCUGUUGAGAGAAGAUGCAGAGCUAUAUGGAUCUUUGCUAUGACCUAGAAUAGCUGCUCUUAUAUCCUUAUGUAAAAUGAACUGUUCGAGAGAGUAGAUCUAACCUGGAGUCACAAAGGAAAGUGAAACUGUAGAGAAGUAUACAAUCUGCGAACCAAUGUCUAAAGUCGUGCAUGUCAUCAAGUCCCAGACAAAGGACCAAUGGAUCAGAACAAACAAAAAAAGCCUCAGAAGAGACCACAGGGAGAUCUUGAAUUAACCCUUGACAGGUUAGAAGCUUGCUGAGUGUUGCUGCUGCUUUAGCACAGGGAGUGAGCAGGACUCCAAAAUAGCACAAUAAAACAUGUCAGAAACACUUGAAGAGCUCAGAGACAGAUGUGAGCAAUUUGUCCUGCAACUGCAAGGUGACCAGUAGGUGCAGAAAGAGACUGACAGCAACUUAGUGAACGGAGUGUAUACAAGGAAGACGGUAUCAGCAGUUCCAGUGGUUCUUCCCUUGGAACAAGACACUGGUUGAAAAAAAGAUCAAUGAGCCAUCAACCUGAAAGCAAAUGGGACCCGUCCCAGCCCAGUGAUUCUUCUGCGACAUAACUUUACUGAUGACUGUGCCUGUUGUGCUGGACAAGGCAUAUGGGAUAUUAGAAUGUCUGAAAAUGUCUUUAGUUUAAUGACCCUGAAUUUACACCGUGUGCAGUGGCGUUGAGGUUUACAUAUCAACAUCAGGUGUUAAUCUGCACUUAAGUGGGCCACAGCAGCAGAAUACUUUGUCAGCAGUUGGUACUUUGCUCAGCAGAUGCAGUGCUCAGCAGAAGGUGAUGUUAGAAGAACAACGGGGAUUUAUGGGGAGACAGAUACAGAGGCAAACAGUAGAAUCUGAAGUCCUGGCAUUCUUGCUGCUUCCUAAGCUUGGCAUGAUUCACACCCCCAAAGGUACUAAACAGUUGCUGAGAGUAGCUGCAAUCAUACUGACCCAGGGUGUCUCAGGUGGCUGUAUUCUUAGGGAGAAAACACAUUUUUUAUCAUAACUUGCAGAAGGUGGGCAGGCAAGGGGCACUGAGUCUGCUGCUUAACCUGAGAACAUCCUAGUGGUUUACUCCUGUACACCCAAAGAGGCACAUGUCUUGGCUGUAAGCGUGCUCUGUGCUCUGCUUCCCACUCAUCUCCAUUCUCAGCUGCCCCACAGACUGCUCACGGACAGCCCGCUGAGGUGGCCUGGACAUGCAGAAUCCCAGAUGCACCGGAGACAUACUGCCAGGCUUUCUAGUGCCCCACAGCAAUCCCAGUAUCUGCACCUCAUUUGCAAUCCAUCGUGAGUUUUAAGGUGGGUUCAUUUUUUUUUUUUAAAGCCUGAAGUACAUACAAACAAAAGUAGCUGCUGGCAGGUUUAGAGACACAGAAGCACAGUAAUUUGGUACGCAGUUGCCAUGGCAGCUAACCUACAUUUAAAUUAUCUGUACGCUUUUCUCAGCCAUUCUCUAGCGUUCCUCCUAUCUGAAUUGUCAGUUCCUUUUUUUUUUUUUUUUUUUUUUUUCUUUGAGACCUGCCUUCUGCAAAGCCCUCCUUUGUGCCACUUUGGCCUCGUCUGCUGGCUCAGCCCUUUCAUCCUGGCAUACUCCAUAUUCUGUUGAUAUUAUCCGUUAAUGGAAGGGGAAGCGAGAGGAGCACGAGGCAGAAGGAGAUGAUGGUCUUCCAGCUACUCUGCCUGCUGAGAGCAGCUUCUUGAAAGCUGAUUUUUGUUGAAGUAAACCACAGUGGUAACUCCCCUCAGUUUCGGGACUUAAAGCUUGCUGCAACAUCACUGAUUUUGAAGAAGUUACUGCAGAUUCACAGCGACAUAAUAAAAGCCAAAUUUGGCCUUAAGACAAUGAAUUUACCCAAUGAUGAAUGAAUUCUGCUCUGUGGGUACAUGGCAGUAAAUCAGGGUGCUAUCUCUUCUAUCCAGAAAACAGGCUUUGAAAUGCUUUAGCAAUGUUUAUUACCGAGUAGAAAUACUAAAAGAAAGGGCAAUGAGUUCUCCAAGCUCUUUCCCUUUCCAUUGACCUCCCUCUCAGCACAGUUAGAAAACAAGCCCAGUCCUGUUUAUGAAUUAAACCUUGAAAGAUUUUGUUAUUUAUUUCUGGUGAAACAGUUCCUUUCUGUCAAAUCGCUGUUUCAGAGGAAAUACAUUCCACUGGCUAUUUCUGACCAGCCAUCCUUUUUAUCUCCCUUCUUGCCACCUCUGAGAACUAAGCUGUGACGCCACUUCAGGGGAACCCAGCCCAGGUCUUAUCAGUUCCUGGCAGAUCAUGGAGAGCCGACAUACCUUCUGCCUAUGGCUGAGUGCGAGCUCUGCGUUUACAGAAAGUGAGAUCAGAAGAUAAGAUGCAGAGAGUAUUUACUUACUUAUUUUUAAUAUAGUAAGCUCAACAUGCUGUCAAAGCAGAAGUUUUGUCUAAUUUUUUAAAGAAGGUUCAGUUUCGGUAUCACUUUGGGUGCUUGAUAGUUUUCAAGUGAUUGCCUAGAAUAAGAUCGCUGCUGCUGAAGACUUGGAAUUGCCAGAUAACAUUUGCAUGCAAAGUCAAGGAGUGGGGAUUACUCAAUUUAUCAUCCUCAUAUCACAAAAAAAGGAGAAAAAUCCCUGGAUUUGUAGGAUUACAGGCCAUGCUAAAGUGAUCUCUCCUUUCAGGGAUACUGAAAGCUGUGACAUUCAGCAAGAGUUUUUUGCUCUUACUUUCUGAGUUCAUUUAUUCAGUCCAGUCAUCUCAGGAUAGCUCGCUUUUUAAAGUGGACUUUCAAAAUGGUAAAAACAGUGCAGAUACUAAACACAAGGAAUAAGAUCUGGAGAGGUGACAGUGAAUAAACACUUUAUGAUGAUUUAGGCUUGCCGAAGACCUGCCCCCAUAAAUGUGGUAGCUUAUUAGACGACAGCUGAACUGAAAUGAUCGGUUUUUGGAGUAACUGGCAAGAGAGACAGGUCUGGCAACAGUAUCAGGAUUCCCCCUCUAGACCUGUGGGGAGGAAAAGGAGAUACAAGAGAGAAGUGGAUUUCCUCCCGCUGCUUUUUAAUCUUGAUGGAGAAACUGAGUUAUGGGGUAGUGAAUUGACCAUCCCAGACCUCCAGCAUAUUGACUGCAAGGCCUUCCAGUUACCAUGGACCUCUUAGCAUGCCACAGAUCCCUGCAGUUAUCAGGGAUAUUAUUUAUUGUUUAUCCUUUUGUGUCACAAAAGGAAACUACUUCCCAGAGUUGCUGACAAGGAAUUCUUUCAUUUUGGGGGCAGAAUGUGUUUAGUAGUUAUUAUGGCAAGCUGUGAUUCAUACCUUUUGGACCUCAGUUGUAUUUUGCACAGCAUGAGAAUAAAGUAAAUCACAUUCUGAAGAGCCUUGCCAAUGAAAUAUUAAAGCCAGUAUUGGUGAUAAAGCUCACUGCUGUGCUUUUCA